Molecule: ribosomal RNA, 292 nt
Filed under: uncultured bacterium
Lineage: Bacteria
Description: partial 16S ribosomal RNA
Rfam family: Bacterial small subunit ribosomal RNA
Source: RNAcentral
GUGCCAGCAGCCGCGGUAAUACGAAGGGGGCUAGCGUUGUUCGGAAUCACUGGGCGUAAAGGGCGCGUAGGCGGCUUUUCAAGUCGGGGGUGAAAGCCUGUGGCUCAACCACAGAAUUGCCUUCGAUACUGUUAGGCUUGAGACCGGAAGAGGUGAGUGGAACUGCGAGUGUAGAGGUGAAAUUCGUAGAUAUUCGCAAGAACACCAGUGGCGAAGGCGGCUCACUGGUCCGGUUCUGACGCUGAGGCGCGAAAGCGUGGGGAGCAAACAGGAUUAGAAACCCCCGUAGUCC